Molecule: ribosomal RNA, 515 nt
Filed under: uncultured bacterium
Lineage: Bacteria
Description: partial 16S ribosomal RNA
Rfam family: Bacterial small subunit ribosomal RNA
Source: RNAcentral
GAUGAACGCUGGCGGCGUGCCUAAUACAUGCAAGUCGAGCGAAUGGAUUAAGAGCUUGCUCUUAUGAAGUUAGCGGCGGACGGGUGAGUAACACGUGGGUAACCUGCCCAUAAGACUGGGAUAACUCCGGGAAACCGGGGCUAAUACCGGAUAACAUUUUGAACCGCAUGGUUCGAAAUUGAAAGGCGGCUUCGGCUGUCACUGAUGGAUGGACCCGCGUCGCAUUAGCUAGUUGGUGAGGUAACGGCUCACCAAGGCAACGAUGCGUAGCCGACCUGAGAGGGUGAUCGGCCACACUGGGCAUGAGACACGGCCCAGACUCCUACGGGAGGCAGCAGUAGGGAAUCUUCCGCAAUGGACGAAAGUCUGACGGAGCAACGCCGCGUGAGUGAUGAAGGCUUUCGGGUCGUAAAACUCUGUUGUUAGGGAAGAACAAGUGCUAGUUGAAUAAGCUGGCACCUUGACGGUACCUAACCAGAAAGCCACGGCUAACUACGUGCCAGCCGCCGCGGUAA